This is a long non-coding RNA of Amblyraja radiata (thorny skate), 145 nucleotides long. RefSeq lists it as uncharacterized. The transcript is spliced from 3 exons. Lineage: Eukaryota; Metazoa; Chordata; Chondrichthyes; Rajiformes; Rajidae. The record is from RefSeq and is a predicted model, not a curated record.
ACCAAACUCAGAUGUUAAGCUCACCGACCUAUAGUUCCCAGUAUUUUCUCUGCAGCCCUUCUUGAAAAGAAGCCCAACAUUUGCCACCCUCCAGUCUUCCGGCACCUCUCCUGUAUUUAAGGAUGACUCAUAAAUUUCAACCAGG